GCCUGGUCUCAAACUCACUCUUGGAAUGACCCUGAGCAUCUGGUCUGCCUGUCCCUUCUUUCCACUGCUUCGUUUCUGCUGUGCUGGUGAUGGAACUCAGGGUUUUGUGCCUGACAGUCCCAGAUGCCUCUGUGAGCCCAGAGAGAUAAGCUUGUGCAACAGCAGGUCCCAGACUGCCAGCUCCUGAAAGAACUCCAGUUGAAGAUGUCUGGAUGAAUGUCAGAGGACUUUGGUUAGCAGCUGUUUCUAGAGGCACAGGUGACUAAGGCUUCCGUGACAGGCAGUGGAAGAUGCAGGCGGUAAGAGCAGGCUCAGAAGAGUGUGAGCAAGCUGCCAGGGAC
Microtus oregoni (creeping vole) is the source of this 341-nucleotide long non-coding RNA. RefSeq lists it as uncharacterized. The transcript has 3 exons. The record is from RefSeq and is a predicted model, not a curated record. NCBI's taxonomy places the organism in Eukaryota, Metazoa, Chordata, Mammalia, Rodentia, Cricetidae.